UACGGAGGGGACUAGCGUUGUUCGGAAUUACUGGGCGUAAAGCGCACGUAGGCGGAUUUGUAAGUCAGGUGUGAAAUCCCCGGGCCUAACCUGGGAACUGCAUUUGUGACUGCAUGUCUAGAGUUUGUCAGAGGGGGGUGGAAUUCCACGUGUAGCAGUGAAAUGCGUAGAUAUGUGGAGGAACACCGAUGGCGAAGGCAGCCCCCUGGGAUGUGACUGACGCUCAUGUACGAAAGCGUGGGGAGCAAACAGG
Molecule: ribosomal RNA, 253 nt
Filed under: uncultured bacterium
Lineage: Bacteria
Description: partial 16S ribosomal RNA
Rfam family: Bacterial small subunit ribosomal RNA
Source: RNAcentral